UGCGCAGGUGGUUUUGUAAGUCAGAUGUGAAAUCCCCGGGCUUAACCUGGGAAUUGCGUUUGAAACUACAAGACUAGAGUGUGGCAGAGGGGGGUGGAAUUCCAUGUGUAGCAGUGAAAUGCGUAGAGAUAUGGAAGAACAUCGAUGGCGAAGGCAGCCCCCUGGGUUAACACUGACACUCAGGCACGAAAGCGUGGGGAGCAAACA
Molecule: ribosomal RNA, 207 nt
Filed under: uncultured bacterium
Lineage: Bacteria
Description: partial 16S ribosomal RNA
Rfam family: Bacterial small subunit ribosomal RNA
Source: RNAcentral